AAAAAGAAGCAGGCCCUUGCCAGAUACGAGUUUGCCAAUGCCUUGAUCUUGGAAUUCCCAGCCUCCAGAACUGUGAGCAAAAGGAUGUGUGUAUGUUCACCCAUACGCUGCACAAAUAUGUAAUGGACACCAGCCAUGACCAGCCUACUGGGGACUGCUUGGCAGUAGCAACACGGCAGCGAACAAGACAGAUGAGCCUCCUGCCCACAGAAGCUUACAUUCGGGUGGAAUACAGGCUGCAUGAGCAAAGAAGAUGACCACACACCUGGGGGAGAGUCAGAUGGCUUCUUCAAUUGGAACGUUCUUCCCUAAGGAUGAGCUAAUAUAGCACAUGACCUGAAAAUCCUUCUGGGAGACUCCAGGUUCUCUGUCUCCAAGCUGGAAAACAAAAGAGGCUGCAAUGGGACAGAGAAGGGCUUCCUGCUGAGGAGAUGAGUGGGCUUAAGAAUUUGCAAGAUCAAAAAUCAAAACAAUUAAACCCAUGGAGAUAGAGUAGAAGGAGAGUGAACAGAGGCUGGGAAGGGUAAUGGGAGAGUUGGUGGGGAGGAGGCAGAUGGUUAACGGGUACAAAAAAA
RNAcentral lists this long non-coding RNA (575 nucleotides) under Homo sapiens (human). Its description in RNAcentral is "HSALNT0384972". Lineage: Eukaryota; Metazoa; Chordata; Mammalia; Primates; Hominidae. The record is from RNAcentral.